Molecule: long non-coding RNA, 941 nt
Filed under: Parus major (Great Tit)
Lineage: Eukaryota; Metazoa; Chordata; Aves; Passeriformes; Paridae
Description: lncRNA (ENSPMJG00000001734.1)
Source: RNAcentral
GGGAGCCUUUCUGGGCAGUUCAGUGCUCACACUGCUGUGCCCUUCCUGUGACUGAGCAGCUUUCCAAAUCUUUCUUCUCCCUGCAGACUACAGGAAUCCCUUUGUGGAGAUGUACUCUGAGCACCCUGACAUCAUCUACAUCGUGGAUGACAGGAAAACAGUGGUGAUCCCCUGCCGGGUCACCUCGCCAGACAUCAAACCCAAACUCACCCAGUACCCUUCCUCUGCAGAGAUCAGCUUCAAGAAGAUGUCCUGGGACCCCAAGAGAGGCUUUGUCAUCCCCUCCCACUCCUUCGUGCCCUCCGGGAUCCUCACAUGCUCAGCCCACGUCAAUGGCAGCGUCUUCAACUCCUACUACAUGGCCCAGAGACUGGAACUUGGACUGGCGCCACUCCUGGUUUUGAAAAAAGACCAAGUGCUGAGGUGGUACAAAACAGAAGUGUUUUAUUCAAACCCCACCAAGGCUUUGUUUGCUUGGAUUGAGCUGUAUUUACAUUAAAACAACUGCUGGUUCAGGACAAAGCAAACAGCAGCUUUCUUUUUGCUUCUGGUCAUUAACCACGUGUGAUUGUCGUAUAAAAACCUCACUACACUGCUAAUUCACACCUUUGCUUUUUAUAGAUUUUCUCUUGGUGAUUUACUACAUAAUUUCCCUUAGAUUUACAGCUGAGCUUCAGCUCAUAAUUAAAACCUGAAUUUGAAGCAACCAAACAUUAAAUUUUUGAGUGCUGGGUAUUUAUAUGAAACCAAUUAGAAUUUAUUUUUCUUUUGUUUUCCAUGUAUGUUCCUUAUCCCCUCAUAUAUCUUCUAUUUACUUGGACUUCAUUCCCAUUAGCUCAUGGCAUCCUUCUUUACAAUCAGCACUCAGCUUUGAACAACAGGCUUGUAAAUUUGUGUGGCAGCCAAAUAAAAGUCCGGUAAAUCUCUCUUUUUCUCCUUUU